Molecule: transfer RNA, 64 nt
Filed under: Pronodularia japanensis
Lineage: Eukaryota; Metazoa; Mollusca; Bivalvia; Unionida; Unionidae
Description: tRNA-Leu
Source: RNAcentral
AGUAAAGUGGCAGAAAAGUGCCUCAGGUUUAAGCCCUGAUCAGGGAGGCUCACUCCCUUUACUA